UNUGACUUGAGUGCAGAAGGGGAGAGUGGAAUUCCAUGUGUAGCGGUGAAAUGCGUAGAUAUAUGGAGGAACACCAGUGGCGAAAGCGGCUCUCUGNUCUGUCACUGACGCUGAGGCUCGAAAGCGUGGGUAGCGAACAGGAUUAGAUACCCUGGUAGUNCACGCCGUAAACGAUGAGUGCUAGGUGUUAGGCCCUUUCCGGGGCUUAGUGCCGGAGCUAACGCAAUAAGCACUCCGCCUGGGGAGUACGACCGCAAGGUUGAAACUCAAAGGAAUUGACGGGGGCCCGCACAAGCGGUGGAGCAUGUGGUUUAAUUCGAAGCAACGCGAAGAACCUUACCAGGUCUUGACAUCCCGAUGCUAUUCUUAGAGAUAGGAAGUUACUUCGGUACAUCGGAGACAGGUGGUGCAUGGUUGUCGUCAGCUCGUGUCGUGAGAUGUUGGGUUAAGUCCCGCAACGAGCGCAACCCUUAUUGUUAGUUGCCAUCAUUAAGUUGGGCACUCUAGCGAGACUGCCGGUAAUAAACCGGAGGAAGGUGGGGAUGACGUCAAAUCAUCAUGCCCCUUAUGACCUGGGCUACACACGUGCUACAAUGGUCGGUACAACGAGUUGCGAGCCGGUGACGGCAAGCUAAUCUCUGAAAGCCGAUCUCAGUUCGGAUUGGAGGCUGCAACUCGCCUCCAUGAAGUCGGAAUCGCUAGUAAUCGCGGAUCAGCACGCCGCGGUGAAUACGUUCCCGGGCCUUGUACACACCGCCCGUCACACCACGAGAGUUUGUAACACCCGAAGUCG
This 793-nucleotide ribosomal RNA is filed under the name uncultured bacterium. RNAcentral's name for it is "bacterial SSU rRNA". It matches the Rfam family "Bacterial small subunit ribosomal RNA", at positions 636 to 1429 of the family's 1533-position model. The record is from RNAcentral.